Molecule: ribosomal RNA, 460 nt
Filed under: uncultured bacterium
Lineage: Bacteria
Description: partial 16S ribosomal RNA
Rfam family: Bacterial small subunit ribosomal RNA
Source: RNAcentral
CCUACGUGCGACAGCAGUGAGGAAUAUUGGUCAAUGGGCGCGAGCCUGAACCAGCCAAGUAGCGUGAAGGAUGACUGCCCUACGGAUUGUAAACUUCUUUUAUAAAGGAAUAAAGUGAGGCACUAGUGCCUUUAUGUGUGUACUUUAUGAAUAAGCAUCGGCUAACUCCGUGCCAGCAGCCGCGGUAAUACGGAGGAUCCGAGCGUUAUCCGGAUUUAUUGGGUUUAAAGGGUGCGUAGAUGGGUUGUUAAGUCAGUUGUGAAAGUUUGCGGCUCAACCGUAAAAGUGCAAUUGAUACUGGCAGGCUUGAGUACAGUUGAGGUAGGCGGAAUUCGUGGUGUAGCGGUGAAAUGCUUAGAUAUCACGAAGAACUCCGAUUGCGAAGGCAGCUUACUAAACUGCCACUGACAUUGAUGCUCGAAAGUGUGGGUAUCAAACAGGAUUAGAUACCCCAGUAGUC